GACGAACGCUGGCGGCGUGCUUAACACAUGCAAGUCGAACGAUGAAGCUCCUGCUUGCAGGGGUGGAUUAGUGGCGAACGGGUGAGUAACACGUGAGUAACCUGCCCCUGACUGUGGGAUAAGCCCGGGAAACUGGGUCUAAUACCGCAUAUGACACCUGGCCGCAUGGUCUGGGUGUGGAAAGUUUUUCGGUUGGGGAUGGGCUCGCGGCCUAUCAGCUUGUUGGUGGGGUAACGGCCCACCAAGGCGACGACGGGUAGCCGGCCUGAGAGGGCGACCGGCCACACUGGGACUGAGACACGGCCCAGACUCCUACGGGAGGCAGCAGUGGGGAAUAUUGCACAAUGGGGGAAACCCUGAUGCAGCGACGCCGCGUGAGGGAUGACGGCCUUCGGGUUGUAAACCUCUUUCAGUAGGGAAGAAGCCUUCGGGUGACGGUACCUGCAGAAGAAGUACCGGCUAACUACGUGCCAGCAGCCGCGGUAAUACGUAGGGUACAAGCGUUGUCCGGAAUUAUUGGGCGUAAAGAGCUCGUAGGCGGUUCGUCGCGUCUGCUGUGGAAACGCAAGGCUCAACCUUGCGCGUGCAGUGGGUACGGGCGGACUAGAGUGCAGUAGGGGAGUCUGGAAUUCCUGGUGUAGCGGUGAAAUGCGCAGAUAUCAGGAGGAACACCGGUGGCGAAGGCGGGACUCUGGGCUGUAACUGACGCUGAGGAGCGAAAGCAUGGGGAGCGAACAGGAUUAGAUACCCUGGUAGUCCAUGCCGUAAACGUUGGGCACUAGGUGUGGGGCUCAUUCCACGAGUUCCGCGCCGCAGCUAACGCAUUAAGUGCCCCGCCUGGGGAGUACGGCCGCAAGGCUAAAACUCAAAGGAAUUGACGGGGCCCGCACAGCGGCGGAGCAUGCGGAUUAAUUCGAUGCAACGCGAAGAACCUUACCAAGGCUUGACAUACACUGGAAUGUGCCAGAGAUGGUUCAGCCCUUUUGGGCUGGUGUACAGGUGGUGCAUGGUUGUCGUCAGCUCGUGUCGUGAGAUGUUGGGUUAAGUCCCGCAACGAGCGCAACCCUCGUUCUAUGUUGCCAGCGCGUGAUGGUGGGAACUCAUAGGAGACUGCCGGGGUCAACUCGGAGGAAGGUGGGGAUGACGUCAAAUCAUCAUGCCCUUUAUGUCUUGGG
This 1175-nucleotide ribosomal RNA is filed under the name uncultured bacterium. RNAcentral's name for it is "bacterial SSU rRNA". It matches the Rfam family "Bacterial small subunit ribosomal RNA", at positions 28 to 1213 of the family's 1533-position model. The record is from RNAcentral.